GAGUGUUGGAUGCUCACCUGAACUGUUAGCUCAGUGCAAUGACGGGCCCGUGACUGGUGAAAUGUGUCCAGAGAGCAGUGUGACACUGUGAAGGAAAACGUCCUGCCUUUGAGAAACUCUCCUGGCUUCUCCUGACCAUCCCAGGAACUGAUAGCCUGCAGCCUGGUGAUUAAGGACCAUUGCCUUAGGACCAGGCAAAGCUGAAUUCCAGUCCCUGCUCCAGAGACACCAUUGAAACCUGGGCCACCCCAUCCCUGCGGAUGCCAAUGGAAGCCGUCCCUGCCAAUUCUCCAUGAGUAGCAGAUGGAGCCUAGGCCAGACAGUGCAAGCUGUACCCCUCUGAAGAGCAGUGAUAUAAACAACCCCAUCCCAUACCUUUUGAUUUUUAUUAAAUAAAAGCCA
Molecule: long non-coding RNA, 402 nt
Organism: Mauremys reevesii (Reeves's turtle)
Lineage: Eukaryota; Metazoa; Chordata; Testudines; Geoemydidae
Exons: 3
Source: RefSeq, a predicted model, not a curated record